UACAGAGGUGGCAAGCGUUGUUCGGAAUUACUGGGCGUAAAGGGCGCGUAGGCGGUCUUGUAAGUCUUGUGUGAAAUCCCUCGGCUUAACUGAGGAACUGCACGGGAUACUGCGAGACUUGAGAUCGGGAGAGGGAAGCGGAAUUCCGGGUGUAGCGGUGAAAUGCGUAGAUAUCCGGAGGAACGCCGGUGGCGAAGGCGGCUUCCUGGACCGACACUGACGCUGAGGCGCGAAAGCCAGGGGAGCAAACGGG
Molecule: ribosomal RNA, 253 nt
Filed under: uncultured bacterium
Lineage: Bacteria
Description: partial 16S ribosomal RNA
Rfam family: Bacterial small subunit ribosomal RNA
Source: RNAcentral